Molecule: unclassified non-coding RNA, 385 nt
Filed under: soil metagenome
Description: partial contains 5.8S ribosomal RNA, internal transcribed spacer 2, and large subunit ribosomal RNA
Rfam family: 5.8S ribosomal RNA (bases 1-120)
Source: RNAcentral
GAUGAAGAACGUAGCGAAAUGCGAUAAGUAAUGUGAAUUGCAGAAUUCAGUGAAUCAUCGAAUCUUUGAACGCACCUUGCACCCUUUGGCAUUCCGAAGGGUAUGCUCGUUUGAGUGUCAUUGUACUCUCACACUCCCAAUUGCUUUGGAUUGGGAGCGGUGGACUUGGGUGUUGCUGCUUGACUGAGGCUCACCUGAAAUAUGUUAGUGCACCUCUUGAUUGGACAUAGUACGGCGUGAUAAGUGUCUUCGCCGACUCCUCGCAAAGAGGGUGGCCGAUCGGGAGCUCUGUUGCUUCAAACUGUCUUCGGACAAUCUUCUGGCGACUUGACCUCAAAUCGAGUAGGACUACCCGCUGAACUUAAGCAUAUCAAUAAGCGGAGGA